AUACUCCGUGAGAGAAGCAGGACCGAAACACACAGAGGCAUUGCGGGGCUCAGAGAAGAACAGUGUAGAAACCCGCGCUGUGUGAAGCGAGGUUGGGCGCAAGAGAAGCAGGCAUGACCUGGCCAACGGGGAGGCCGGAAGUCCUCGCCUUUCUGGUCUUUCACGUUGGCAGCGCCUCUGCUGGGCCUCGGGCCGCUCACCUGCGGAAGGGGCCGCACUCUUCACCAUGGACUCCACCGCCUCCUGCACCCGGAGCUGCUGCAGCUCAGCCAUGGCGACCCCGCGCUGCCCCGCGGCGCUCCGCGCCGGCGCCCAUAUGGAAUCGGCGUACGGGCCCGCCCCCUCACCGCCCUUCGCCGCCCUUCGCCGCCUGCCCUUCCAGGGCCCACGCCCCCCCCUGGCGGCCGAACGGAGCCACUGCAUGCUGGUGUCCGCGAGCCCACCGCCCUCCUCCCGCUUGGGAACCGGUCACUGGGACACCUGCCCUGCGGCUGCUGCCUGCCUUUCCUCCUCCCUCCCAUGUCCCUCCCUUUACAUUCUUUAAAAUUAUUUAAUGUAAUUUACAUACAGAUAAAUGCCCAGAUCUUAGGCGUGCUGCUUGAUGAGUUUUAACAAACCCUGUCCGCCGGGCGCAGUGGCUUACGCCUGUAAUCCCAGCACUUUGGGAGGCCGUGGGCAGGUGGAUGACCUGAGCUCAGGAAUUUGAGACCAGCCUGGCCAACCUGGCGAAACCCCGUCCCUACUAAAAAUACAAAAAUUAGCCGGGUGUGGUGGCACAUGCCUGUAGUCCCAGCUAUUUGGGAGGCUGAGGCAGGAGAAUUGCUUGAACCCGGGAGGGAGAGGUUGCAGUGAGCCGAAAUCACGCCAUUGCACUCCAGCCUGGACGACAGAGUGAGACUCUGUCUCUAAACAACAAUAAAAACCCAAACUCUGUCUUGUCCCAAUCUCCGUCCUUUCUACCCCAUCUCCCCACCCCUGCCCUAACUGGUCUGCUUCUGUCACUGUAGAUUACAUUUUCUCUUUCUAGAAUGUCAUAUGUAUGUUAUUAUCCAAUAAGUACUCCUUUUCUGUCUGGCUUUUUUAGCAUAUUGCUGAAAAAUACUUAGCCUAAUGCUUUCGAGAUUGAGCUGUGUUGUUGGUUCUUUUUUGCUGCUGAGUAGUAUUCUAUUGAAUGGACAUACCACAUUUGUCGUUGUUGUUUUUUGAGACAGGGUCUUACUCUGUCACCCAGGCUGGAGUGCAGUGAUGUGGUCUCGGCUCAUGCAGCCUCCACCUCCCUGGUUCAAGUGAUUCUCAUGCCUCAGCCUCCCGAGUAGCUGGGAUUACAGGCAUGUGCCACCACGUCUGGCUAAUUUUUUUUUUUUUUUUGUAGACACGGGGUUUCACCAUGUUAGCCAAGCUGGUCUCCAACUCCUGAGCUCAAGGGAUCCACACACCUCGGCCUCCCAAAGUGCUGAGAUUGCAGGCAUGAGGCAUCGGUCCCGGCCCACAUUUGUUGAUCCAUUCCCCUGCUGAUGGGUGUUUGGGUCUUUUCCACUUAGUAGCUAUUAUGAAUAAAGUGGUGACUAU
This 1569-nucleotide long non-coding RNA is filed under the name Homo sapiens (human). RNAcentral's name for it is "HSALNT0303483". Lineage: Eukaryota; Metazoa; Chordata; Mammalia; Primates; Hominidae. The record is from RNAcentral.